RNAcentral lists this ribosomal RNA (453 nucleotides) under uncultured Porphyromonadaceae bacterium. Its description in RNAcentral is "partial 16S ribosomal RNA". It matches the Rfam family "Bacterial small subunit ribosomal RNA", at positions 341 to 792 of the family's 1533-position model. The record is from RNAcentral. Lineage: Bacteria; Pseudomonadati; Bacteroidota; Bacteroidia; Bacteroidales; Porphyromonadaceae.
ACGGGGGCAGCAGUGAGGAAUAUUGGUCAAUGGACGGAAGUCUGAACCAGCCAAGUCGCGUGAAGGAAGACGGUUCUAUGGAUUGUAAACUUCUUUUGCAUGAGGGUAAAGUGACCUACGUGUAGGUUAUUGCAAGUAUCAUGUGAAUAAGCAUCGGCUAACUCCGUGCCAGCAGCCGCGGUAAUACGGAGGAUGCGAGCGUUAUCCGGAUUUAUUGGGUUUAAAGGGUGCGUAGGCGGGCUGUUAAGUCAGCGGUGAAAGUUUGCGGCUCAACCGUAAAAUUGCCGUUGAAACUGGCGGUCUUGAGUGUAAACGAGGUAGGCGGAAUGUGAUGUGUAGCGGUGAAAUGCUUAGAUAUGUCACAGAACUCCGAUUGCGAAGGCAGCUUACCAGGAUACAACUGACGCUGAGGCACGAAAGCGUGGGUAUCAAACAGGAUUAGAUACCCUGGUA